AGCAUACAUAAGACAUCCGUCAGCCAAUAUCUGGACCCUUGCUGGAUUUUCUCUUCAUGAUGUAUGCAAGUCCAGUUCCACUCACAGUAUGAGGACAAGGAUGUCAGGAGCAGUGGGAUGGAUUGGGUUCCCUUCCUUCACUGGAUGCUCCCCUGGCAAUGGCCGGGUUGAUGCUGCAGGGUAUUGGAAGUCCAGAAGCCUUCCUGGAUGAACAGCAGUGACUAUAGAACACAGCAACUGCUGCAAAAUU
Molecule: long non-coding RNA, 250 nt
Filed under: Mus pahari (shrew mouse)
Lineage: Eukaryota; Metazoa; Chordata; Mammalia; Rodentia; Muridae
Description: lncRNA (MGP_PahariEiJ_G0003524.1)
Source: RNAcentral